Molecule: ribosomal RNA, 16 nt
Filed under: Tulasnella sp. MUT4238
Lineage: Eukaryota; Fungi; Basidiomycota; Agaricomycetes; Cantharellales; Tulasnellaceae
Description: partial 28S ribosomal RNA
Source: RNAcentral
GACCUCAUGGGGAGGG